Molecule: ribosomal RNA, 257 nt
Filed under: uncultured prokaryote
Description: partial 16S ribosomal RNA
Rfam family: Bacterial small subunit ribosomal RNA
Source: RNAcentral
UACGUAGGUGGCAAGCGUUGUCCAGAUUUAUUGGGCGUAAAGCGAGCGCAGGCGGUUCCUUAAGUCUGAUGUGAAAGCCCACGGCUCAACCGUGGAAGGUCAUUGGAAACUGGGGAACUUGAGUGCAGAAGAGGAGAGUGGAAUUCCAUGUGUAGCGGUGAAAUGCGUAGAUAUAUGGAGGAACACCAGUGGCGAAGGCGACUCUCUGGUCUGUAACUGACGCUGAGGCUCGAAAGCGUGGGGAGCAAACAGGAUUA